Molecule: long non-coding RNA, 247 nt
Filed under: Brassica napus (rape)
Lineage: Eukaryota; Viridiplantae; Streptophyta; Magnoliopsida; Brassicales; Brassicaceae
Description: long non-coding RNA (BNAP_LNC014942)
Source: RNAcentral
GUCCGGGUUUAGUUCGAAAUUCAGGUUAAAGAUUUUAUGUCCAGCCUUAAUUAACGUAUUUGGAUCUUAAUUGGAUUUUAAUUUGGACUAUAAAAAUAAUUAAAGGGAAAUAGAAUACUUUUUGUCAUUUUAAUGAAUUUAAUAUAUUUAUUAGAAUGAUAGUUUUUUUUUGUUUUACGGCUUUUUUGUUUUACGGUUUUUGUUGUUGUAAUGUUUAAAUUUUUUUGUAUUUAUUAAAUUAAUAAAA